AGUGAACGCUGGCGGUAGGCCUAACACAUGCAAGUCGAACGGCAGCACAGUAAGAGCUUGCUCUUACGGGUGGCGAGUGGCGGACGGGUGAGGAAUACAUCGGAAUCUACUUUUUCGUGGGGGAUAACGUAGGGAAACUUACGCUAAUACCGCAUACGACCUACGGGUGAAAGCAGGGGAUCUUCGGACCUUGCGCGAUUGCAUGAGCCGAUGUCGGAUUAGCUAGUUGGCGGGGUAAAGGCCCACCAAGGCGACGAUCCGUAGCUGGUAUGAGCGGAUGGUCAGCCACACUGGAACUAAGGCACGUACAAGACUCCUGCGGGAGGCAGCCGUGGGGAAUAUUGGACAAUGGGGCCAAGCCUAAUCCAGCCAUACCGCGUGGGUGAAGAAGGCCUUCGGGUUGUAAAGCCCUUUUGUUGGGAAGGAAAGGCAGCAGGUUAAUCCCCCGCUGUUCUGACAGUACCCAAAGAAUAAGCUCCGGCUAACUUCGUG
This 492-nucleotide ribosomal RNA is filed under the name uncultured bacterium. RNAcentral describes it as "partial 16S ribosomal RNA". It matches the Rfam family "Bacterial small subunit ribosomal RNA", at positions 29 to 507 of the family's 1533-position model. The record is from RNAcentral.